UAGGGAAUCUUCGGCAAUGGGGGCAACCCUGACCGAGCAACGCCGCGUGAGUGAAGAAGGUUUUCGGAUCGUAAAGCUCUGUUGUAAGAGAAAAACGUGUGUGAGAGUGGAAAGUUCACACAGUGACGGUAACUUACCAGAAAGGGACGGCUAACUACGUGCCA
This 164-nucleotide ribosomal RNA is filed under the name uncultured bacterium. Its description in RNAcentral is "partial 16S rRNA". It matches the Rfam family "Bacterial small subunit ribosomal RNA", at positions 355 to 510 of the family's 1533-position model. The record is from RNAcentral.